This is a long non-coding RNA of Gordionus sp. m RMFG-2023, 283 nucleotides long. RefSeq lists it as uncharacterized. Lineage: Eukaryota; Metazoa; Nematomorpha; Gordioida; Chordodea; Parachordodidae. The transcript is spliced from 5 exons. The record is from RefSeq and is a predicted model, not a curated record.
AUUUGCGGGUAAAGGGAUAUUUAAAACCAAUAUCUUUCAUAUAUCCAAACAAUGCACUGCUCCUGCCUGCUUAGAAAUAACAAGACUAAGCUUACAACUGAUCCCAUAUGUGUACAUUGUGUAGAAGUAGCCACUCAAACAUCAUUUGAGACAAUAACCAACCAAGUUAAAUUAUAGAAUAUAUUACUAAUAUGCUAUCUUGUUAACCUGAAAAUUUUCUUCUUAGCAUCAAUUGAUUUAAUUUAUUCAGCUCCAACCAACCAAACAUCACUUGAUAUAAUCC